Molecule: ribosomal RNA, 501 nt
Filed under: uncultured Sphingobacteriales bacterium
Lineage: Bacteria; Pseudomonadati; Bacteroidota; Sphingobacteriia; Sphingobacteriales
Description: bacterial SSU rRNA
Rfam family: Bacterial small subunit ribosomal RNA
Source: RNAcentral
CGCCUUGCCAGCCGCUCAGAAACUUAAGGAAAUUGACGGGGCCCGCACAAGCGGAGGAGCAUGUGGUUAAUUCGAUGAUACGCGAGGAACUUACCUGGGCUCGAACGUAAGAUGACUGUAGGUGAAAGCUUACAUCUCUUCGGAGCAUUUUACGAGGUGCUGCAUGGUUGUCGUCAGCUCGUGCCGUGAGGUGUCGGGUUAAGUCCCAUAACGAGCGCAACCCCUACCUUUAGUUGCCAUCAGGUUAAGCUGGGGACUCUAAAGGAACUGCCUACGCAAGUAGUGAGGAAGGCGGGGAUGACGUCAAAUCAGCACGGCCCUUACGUCCAGGGCUACACACGUGCUACAAUGGCCGAUACAGAGGGCAGCUACCUGGUGACAGGAUGCAAAUCUCCAAAGUCGGUCUCAGUUCGGAUCGGAGUCUGCAACCCGACUCCGUGAAGUUGGAUUCGCUAGUAAUCGCGCAUCAGCCAUGGCGCGGUGAAUACGUUCCCGGGCCUU